This 706-nucleotide ribosomal RNA is filed under the name Phelsuma lineata (striped day gecko). RNAcentral describes it as "partial 12S ribosomal RNA". Lineage: Eukaryota; Metazoa; Chordata; Lepidosauria; Squamata; Gekkonidae. The record is from RNAcentral.
AAUUACAAGCGAAAGCAUAAAAUUCAAAGGACUUGACGGUACUUCACAUCAACCUAGAGGAGCCUGUCCUAUAAUCGAUAACCCACGUUUUACCUCACCUACUCUUGCAAAAUCAGCCUGUAUACCGCCGUCGCCAGCCCAUCUAAUGAUAGAAUAAAAAUGGACAAAACUGUAUAACUACAAAAACGUCAGGUCAAGGUGCAGCUAAUGAGUGGGCUGAGAUGGGCUACAUUUUUUAACUUAAAAAACUACUACCAGCUACAUGAAACACUGAGCUACCAAGGUGGAUUUAGCAGUAAAUAUGUGCAAGACAUGCCACAUUGAAACUCGUUCUGAAGUGCGUACACACCGCCGAUUACAAGCGAAAGCAUAAAAUUCAAAGGACUUGACGGUAUUUCACAUCAACCUAGAGGAGCCUGUCCUGUAAUCGAUAAUCCACGUUUUACCUCACCCAUUCUUGCCACGCCAGCCUGUAUACCGCCGUCGCCAGCCCAUCUAAUGAUAGAAUAAAAAUGGACAAAAUUGUACAACCACAAAAACGUCAGGUCAAGGUGCAGCUAAUGAGUGGGCUGAGAUGGGCUACAUUUUUUAAAUUAAAAAAUUACUACAAGCAACAUGAAAUAUUGCGCCUCCAAGGUGGAUUUAGCAGUAAAUUUGUGCAAGAUGUGCCACAUUGAAACCUGUUCUGAAAUGCGUACACACCGCC